ACGAACGCUGGCGGCGUGCCUAAUACAUGCAGGUCGAACGCACUCUCGUUUAGAUUGAAGGAGUUUGCUCCUGAUUGAUAAACAUUUGAGUGAGUGGCGGACGGGUGAGUAACACGUGGGUAACCUGCCCUAAAGUGGGGGAUAACAUUUGGAAACAGAUGCUAAUACCGCAUAAAACCUAACACCGCAUGGUGUAGGGUUGAAAGACGGUUUCGGCUAUCACUUUAGGAUGGACCCGCGGUGCAUUAGUUAGUUGGUGAGGUAAAGGCUCACCAAGACCGUGAUGCAUAGCCGACCUGAGAGGGUAAUCGGCCACACUGGGACUGAGACACGGCCCAGACUCCUACGGGAGGCAGCAGUAGGGAAUCUUCCACAAUGGACGAAAGUCUGAUGGAGCAACGCCGCGUGAGUGAAGAAGGUUUUCGGAUCGUAAAACUCUGUUGUUGGAGAAGAAUGUAUCUGAUAGUAACUGAUCAGGUAGUGACGGUAUCCAACCAGAAAGCCACGGCUAACUACGUG
RNAcentral lists this ribosomal RNA (519 nucleotides) under uncultured bacterium. RNAcentral's name for it is "partial 16S ribosomal RNA". It matches the Rfam family "Bacterial small subunit ribosomal RNA", at positions 29 to 507 of the family's 1533-position model. The record is from RNAcentral.